AACGAACGCUGGCGGCGUGGAUAAGACAUGCAAGUCGAACGAGAUCUCUAGAUAGCUUGCUAACUGGAGUGACAGUGGCGGACGGGUGCGUAACACGUGAGCAACCUGCCCUGAAGUGGGGGAUAGCUCUCCGAAAGGAGGAUUAAUACCGCAUGUGGUCUUCGGAUCAAAGGUGGCUUCGGCUGCCGCUUCGGGAUGGGCUCGCGGCCUAUCAGCUUGUUGGUGAGGUAACGGCUCACCAAGGCGACGACGGGUAGCUGGUCUGAGAGGACGAUCAGCCACACUGGAACUGAGACACGGUCCAGACACCUACGGGUGGCAGCAGUCGAGAAUCAUUCACAAUGGGGGAAACCCUGAUGGUGCAACGCCGCGUGGAGGAUGACGGCCUUCGGGUUGUAAACUCCUGUCAUCUGGGAGUAAGCCUUAUUCGUUAAUAGCGUGUAAGGUUGAUAGUACCAGAAGAGGAAGGGACGGCUAACUUCG
Molecule: ribosomal RNA, 483 nt
Filed under: uncultured Verrucomicrobiaceae bacterium
Lineage: Bacteria; Pseudomonadati; Verrucomicrobiota; Verrucomicrobiia; Verrucomicrobiales; Verrucomicrobiaceae
Description: bacterial SSU rRNA
Rfam family: Bacterial small subunit ribosomal RNA
Source: RNAcentral